This 851-nucleotide small RNA is filed under the name Histoplasma capsulatum var. duboisii H88. Its description in RNAcentral is "Histoplasma capsulatum H88 hypothetical RNA". The record is from RNAcentral. Lineage: Eukaryota; Fungi; Ascomycota; Eurotiomycetes; Onygenales; Ajellomycetaceae.
CCUGCAUUUCCGGAAUCUUCCAUCGCACAAUCGCCUGCCACAGAGCGGCAGAGCUCCCGCAACCGCAGGGCUUUUGCCGCCUGGUGCCCUCGACCGCCUCCGGGUGAUGGCGUUGGAAUGGCUUGGAUCCCAAUCUGUCGGAUUGCUACAAGUUUCCCUAUUUUUCCCGAUUUGCUCCAUAUCGGUGCCUACGGCUUGAUUUCCCCCCUUCAUCCCCACUGCUGAAAAAUUCUUUUAUUCGGACAGGCUGAAAUUGGUGAGGUGAGUUUGUAGUUUGCGCGGCUGUGAUGCGAUGCGAUGCGAUGCGAUGCGAGAGCGCAAAGACGGCUGGCUGGGCUAUUCAGUCUAUCAUGAAUAAUGAAUGGCCCUGAAUGAAGUUGAUCUUGAUCCAAAUCCCGAUCUCGCGACUGAUGACAGCUGCAUGUUUCGCUCUGUUCCUGCGGGGACGACGGGACAUGCGCUGCACUGCGCUGCGCUACGUCUACUGCAAAAAUUGAUGCAUUGAAGUCCCCGAUUCGACGGGUGACGGGUAGGGUGUGGGGGAUGGGUGGAACUCGCACAGUAAAAAGCGUGGAUUUCAUAGGACGACACUCUUGAAACGGAGGCUGGGAAGAGAGAAACAUUUCAGGCAAUGGGCAUCAACGAGCCUUGGAAGCGAGGUCGCGGCUGAUGAAUCGGAGCUCCUGUUUGCCCUCCGGGGACGCCCCCACUACAAGACAUCAGGGGUGUGAUUUCCUUUUCUUUUCUUUGGUUUGUUUGUUUUUGUUUCCCUCCAGGAUAUAUAUAUAUAUAUCUAUUCAUUUUCAAUUUUAUAUAUAUAUAUAUAUGUCAAGACAAGCGCGCUCCGCCCU